Molecule: transfer RNA, 56 nt
Filed under: Ovis aries (sheep)
Lineage: Eukaryota; Metazoa; Chordata; Mammalia; Artiodactyla; Bovidae
Rfam family: tRNA
About the family: Transfer RNA (tRNA) molecules are approximately 80 nucleotides in length.
Source: Rfam by way of RNAcentral
UGGCUCAGAGGGUAAAGCGUCUGCCUGCAAUGCAGGAGACCGGGGUUCGAUCCCUG